UACAGAGGGUGCAAACGUUGCUCGGAAUUAUUGGGCGUAAAGCGCGUGUAGGCGGUUUGGAAAGUCGACCGUGAAAGCCCUCGGCUCAACCGAGGAAGUGCGGCCGAAACUAUCAGACUUGAAUACCGAAGAGGAUGGCGGAAUGCGCAGUGUAGAGGUGAAAUUCGUAGAUAUUGCGUAGAACACCCGUGGCGAAGGCGGCCAUCUGGGAGGCUAUUGACGCUGAGACGCGAAAGCGUGGGGAGCAAACAGG
This 253-nucleotide unclassified non-coding RNA is filed under the name uncultured Myxococcales bacterium. RNAcentral describes it as "contains 16S-23S intergenic spacer region". It matches the Rfam family "Bacterial small subunit ribosomal RNA", at positions 524 to 776 of the family's 1533-position model. The record is from RNAcentral. Lineage: Bacteria; Pseudomonadati; Myxococcota; Myxococcia; Myxococcales.